UGGGAUGCGUAGGGAGAAGCUGUGAUA
Molecule: non-coding RNA, 27 nt
Filed under: Homo sapiens (human)
Lineage: Eukaryota; Metazoa; Chordata; Mammalia; Primates; Hominidae
Source: RNAcentral